GCCCAGCUAAUUUUUGUAUUUUUAGUAGACAAGGUCUCACCAUGUUGGCCAGGCUGGUCCUGAACUCCUGACCUCAAGUGAUCCACCCGCCUCGGCCUCUCAAAAUGCUGGGAUUACAGGCGUGAGCCACUGCGCCCCGGCUCGCUCCUUUUUUUUUUUUUUUGAGACAGAGUCUCACUCUGUUGCCCAGGAUAGAGUGCAGUGGUGUGAUUUUGGCUCACUGCAACCUUUGCCUCCCGGAUUCAAGUGAUUCUCCUGCCUCAGCCUCCUGAGUAGCUGUGAUUACAGGUGCCCACCACCAUGCCUAGCUAAUUUUUGUAUUUUUAGUGGACGGGGUCUCACCGUGUUAGCCAGGCUGGUCUUGAACUCCUGAGCUCGAGAGAUCCGCCCACCUCGGCCUCCCAAAGUGCUGAGAUUACAGGCGUGAGCCACCACGCUGGGCCCUGCAGUCUCUUUUCACUGGGUACUGCGGUUCAGUGUUACUGCCUAGGGGCAGCUGAUCCGCAGAGCCCCUCCCUCUCUGAGUUCCCCCAGGCCAGAGCUGAGAGCCAGGCUCUCCAGAUCCCUGUGGGAGGGCCUUGUAUCUGAGUCCAGUUUUCCUCCAGCACGAGGCCUGGCAUUUAAUUACCUGCUAUCUUGUCAGCUGUUCAGUGUUCCUGGCCUUUGGAUAUUUCACCCAGCGUGUUUCAUCGUCUUCAGGGAAACGGCUGGUCCAGGCACCUAGCCUGCUGUCACCAGGAAGGGACAUGUGCCCCGAGGCGGGGCUGAUGUCACUGCUGCACCCUGGUGGGGCGCACCAGCCCACGGCUGUGCCACCCGGGAGGUGCCCUUUUGUUGGAGGGCAUUUGCCAAAACCAGCAAACUUGGGUUCUCAUUCUGUGGCCUUGAGGGGUCAGGGGGACAGAAGUCAAGGGCCAGUCCUGCCCAAAAUGGGGAGCAUUAUAGAAAACCCUUCCCACCUUAAGCUGAAAACCUAAAGGUCUACACUCUUAGGGUAAGAAUGAAACGGAAUUAGCCCUGCUCCCUCCACACGAAAGACACUUGGUGCUAAGAGAAGCAAAAAGAAAAAGUUCUUCAGAAGUUAGGGCUACAGGUCUUCUCUAGCACAGAUUUGAGGUGCUAGCACAGAUUUGAGGUGCUGCCAAGAAUGCAGAGAACUCCAAGCACUCAAUGCGUUGUUUUGACAUAGGGUCUCUCUCUGUCACCCAGGCUGGAGUGCGGUGGUGUGAUCACGGCUCACUGCAGCCUCGAACUCCUGGGCUCAAGCAAUCCUCCCACCUCAGCCUCCCAAGUAGCUGGGACUUCAGGUGCAUACCACCAUGCCCAGCUAAUUAAAAACAAAAGAGAUACGGC
This 1353-nucleotide long non-coding RNA is filed under the name Homo sapiens (human). RNAcentral's name for it is "HSALNT0117970". Lineage: Eukaryota; Metazoa; Chordata; Mammalia; Primates; Hominidae. The record is from RNAcentral.